Molecule: long non-coding RNA, 421 nt
Organism: Pocillopora verrucosa
Lineage: Eukaryota; Metazoa; Cnidaria; Anthozoa; Scleractinia; Pocilloporidae
Source: RefSeq, a predicted model, not a curated record
UCGGCCAUUUUGAAUUUUGUGGUAUUGAACUCGACCGUGCGAAAUACUCUCUCUAGCUUUCGACAUGUGGUAUGAAUGCUUACCUCCGUUUGUUAUUAUUGGAGCUUGUAUAGCUGUAACUGGCUGGGGACUGAAGAUCUGUGAUCGACUCUUCCAAGAGGGCAAGCCCAGUAGAUAUAGCUUGGACAAGUUUGAUGAAAGACUGCUCGCACGAGAUGAAAGGAUCACUGGCUCAAGAUUCAGACAAAAGUCUUUGUAGAAGAUUAUUAUGAGACAUGCCGUAUUGAUGGGUACCUUUGAAUCUGUUACUGGGAAUAUUUCAAUGGUUUCACAUAUAAGUUUGUUCUGAAUCUCUUUCUCAAGUAUCAUGUAAUUCUGAGUGUUAAAAAAAAUGCUUGUAAAUAAAAGAAAUUUGUUUUGA